This 558-nucleotide ribosomal RNA is filed under the name Trichoderma hamatum. RNAcentral's name for it is "eukaryotic LSU rRNA". The stretch from base 162 to 315 matches the Rfam family "5.8S ribosomal RNA". Lineage: Eukaryota; Fungi; Ascomycota; Sordariomycetes; Hypocreales; Hypocreaceae. The record is from RNAcentral.
ACCAUGUGACGUUACCAAACUGUUGCCUCGGCGGGGUCACGCCCCGGGUGCGUAAAAGCCCCGGAACCAGGCGCCCGCCGGAGGAACCAACCAAACUCUUUCUGUAGUCCCCUCGCGGACGUAUUUCUUACAGCUCUGAGCAAAAAUUCAAAAUGAAUCAAAACUUUCAACAACGGAUCUCUUGGUUCUGGCAUCGAUGAAGAACGCAGCGAAAUGCGAUAAGUAAUGUGAAUUGCAGAAUUCAGUGAAUCAUCGAAUCUUUGAACGCACAUUGCGCCCGCCAGUAUUCUGGCGGGCAUGCCUGUCCGAGCGUCAUUUCAACCCUCGAACCCCUCCGGGGGGUCGGCGUUGGGGAUCGGGACCCCUCACCGGGUGCCGGCCCUGAAAUACAGUGGCGGUCUCGCCGCAGCCUCUCCUGCGCAGUAGUUUGCACAACUCGCACCGGGAGCGCGGCGCGUCCACGUCCGUAAAACACCCAACUUCUGAAAUGUUGACCUCGGAUCAGGUAGGAAUACCCGCUGAACUUAAGCAUAUCAAUAAGCGGAGGGAAAAAGAAAA